AGGGGCAGCAGCUUUAUAGCAAUAUAGAGGCUGGCGACCGGCAAACGGGUGCGGAACACGUACACAACCUUCCUUGAAUAGGGGGAUAGCCCAUAGAAAUGUGGAUUAAUACCCCGUAAUAUAGCGGUGUGGCAUCACACUGUUAUUACAGUUUCGACGAUUCGAGAUGGGUGUGCGGCUGAUUAGGUAGUUGGCGGGGUAAAGGCCCACCAAGCCUUCGAUCAGUAGCUGAUGUGAGAGCAUGAUCAGCCACACGGGCACUGAGACACGGGCCCGACUCCUACGGGAGGCAGCAGUAAGGAAUAUUGGUCAAUGGACGCAAGUCUGAACCAGCCAUGCCGCGUGAAGGAUGAAGGUCCUCUGGAUUGUAAACUUCUUUUAUAGGGGGCGAAAAAAGGUCUUUCUAGAUCACUUGACAGUACCCUAUGAAUAAGCACCGGCUAACUCCGUGCCAGCAGCCGCGGUAAUACGGAGGGUGCAAGCGUUAUCCGGAUUCACUGGGUUUAAAGGGUGCGUAGGCGGGUAGGUAAGUCAGAGGUGAAAUCCUGGAGCUUAACUCCAGAACUGCCUUUGAUACUAUCUAUCUUGAAUAUGGUGGAGGUAAGCGGAAUAUGUCAUGUAGCGGUGAAAUGCAUAGAUAUGACAUAGAACACCUAUUGCGAAGGCAGCUUACUACGCCUAUAUUGACGCUGAGGCACGAAAGCGUGGGGAUCAAACAGGAUUAGAUACCCUGGUAGUCCACGCCCUAAACGAUGAUUACUCGACGUAUGCGAUACACAGUAUGCGUCUGAGCGAAAGCAUUAAGUAAUCC
This 811-nucleotide ribosomal RNA is filed under the name uncultured bacterium. RNAcentral describes it as "bacterial SSU rRNA". It matches the Rfam family "Bacterial small subunit ribosomal RNA", at positions 65 to 870 of the family's 1533-position model. The record is from RNAcentral.